CAGAGAGUAGUUUAGUUUAGAAUUCUAGCUUUGGGGGUUAGAGGUAAGAGUUAAAAUCCCUUCUUUCUGA
RNAcentral lists this transfer RNA (70 nucleotides) under Ophidion marginatum (striped cusk-eel). RNAcentral describes it as "tRNA-Pro". It matches the Rfam family "tRNA". Rfam says of the family: Transfer RNA (tRNA) molecules are approximately 80 nucleotides in length. Their secondary structure includes four short double-helical elements and three loops (D, anti-codon, and T loops). Further hydrogen bonds mediate the characteristic L-shaped molecular structure. tRNAs have two regions of fundamental functional importance: the anti-codon, which is responsible for specific mRNA codon recognition, and the 3' end, to which the tRNAs corresponding amino acid is attached (by aminoacyl-tRNA synthetases). tRNAs cope with the degeneracy of the genetic code in two manners: having more than one tRNA (with a specific anti-codon) for a particular amino acid; and 'wobble' base-pairing, i.e. permitting non-standard base-pairing at the 3rd anti-codon position. Lineage: Eukaryota; Metazoa; Chordata; Actinopteri; Ophidiiformes; Ophidiidae. The record is from RNAcentral.